Molecule: ribosomal RNA, 491 nt
Filed under: Goniomonas pacifica
Lineage: Eukaryota; Cryptophyceae; Goniomonadida; Goniomonadaceae
Description: partial Bacterial large subunit ribosomal RNA
Rfam family: Bacterial large subunit ribosomal RNA
Source: RNAcentral
CGAGAGGGAAACAACCCAGACCGCCAGCUAAGGUCCCUAAAAUUGGCUAAGUGGGAAACGAAGUGGGAAGGCUAAAACAGUCAGGAUGUUGGCUUAGAAGCAGCCAUCAUUUAAAGAAAGCGUAAUAGCUCACUGAUCGAGUCGUCCUGCGCGGAAGAUGUAACGGGGCUAAGCCAGUUACCGAAGCUGCGGAUGCAUCGCAAGAUGCGUGGUAGGAGAGCGUUCUGUAAGCCUGUGAAGGUGGGUUGUGAAGCCUGCUGGAGGUAUCAGAAGUGCGAAUGCUGACAUGAGUAACGACAAUGCGGGUGAAAAACCCGCACGCCGGAAGACCAAGGGUUCCUGCGCAACGCUAAUCGGCGCAGGGUGAGUCGGCCCCUAAGGCGAGGCCGAAAGGCGUAGUCGAUGGGAAAUCGGUUAAUAUUCCGAUACUUGUUUAUGAUGCGAUGGAGGGACGGAGAAGGUUAGGCAGGCCCGGCGUUGGUUGUCCGGGU